This 604-nucleotide ribosomal RNA is filed under the name uncultured rumen bacterium. RNAcentral's name for it is "bacterial SSU rRNA". It matches the Rfam family "Bacterial small subunit ribosomal RNA", at positions 34 to 638 of the family's 1533-position model. The record is from RNAcentral.
CGCUGGCGGCGUGCUUACACAUGCAAGUCGAACGAGAAUCACCGGAAGGAGUUUUCGGACAACGGAAGGUGAGGACAGUGGCGGACGGGUGAGUAACGCGUGAGGAACCUGCCUUUCAGAGGGGGACAACAGUUGGAAACGACUGCUAAUACCGCAUAACGCAUAGGUAUCGCAUGGUACUUAUGCCAAAGAUUUAUCGCUGAAAGAUGGCCUCGCGUCUGAUUAGCUGGUUGGUGAGGUAACGGCCCACCAAGGCGACGAUCAGUAGCCGGACUGAGAGGUUGACCGGCCACAUUGGGACUGAGAUACGGCCCAGACUCCUACGGGAGGCAGCAGUGGGGAAUAUUGGGCAAUGGGCGCAAGCCUGACCCAGCAACGCCGCGUGAAGGAAGAAGGCUUUCGGGUUGUAAACUUCUUUUGGCAGGGAAGAGGAGAAGACGGUACCUGCCGAAUAAGCCACGGCUAACUACGUGCCAGCAGCCGCGGUAAUACGUAGGUGGCAAGCGUUGUCCGGAUUUACUGGGUGUAAAGGGCGUGUAGCCGGGUUGGUAAGUCAAAUUUGAAAUGCACGGGCUUAACUCGUGAACUGCAUUUGAAACUGCUG